AGAGUUUGAUUCUGGCUCAGGAUGAACGCUGGCGGCGUGCUUAACACAUGCAAGUCGAACGAAGCACUUCACUUUGAUUCUUCGGAUGAAGAGAGUUGUGACUGAGUGGCGGACGGGUGAGUAACGCGUGGGUAACCUGCCUCAUACAGGGGGAUAACAGUUAGAAAUGACUGCUAAUACCGCAUAAGACCACAGGACUGCAUGGUCCGGUGGUAAAAACUCCGGUGGUAUGAGAUGGACCCGCGUCUGAUUAGCUAGUUGGUAAGGUAAUGGCUUACCAAGGCGACGAUCAGUAGCCGACCUGAGAGGGUGACCGGCCACAUUGGGACUGAGACACGGCCCAAACUCCUACGGGAGGCAGCAGUGGGGAAUAUUGCACAAUGGGGGAAACCCUGAUGCAGCGACGCCGCGUGAGCGAUGAAGUAUUUCGGUAUGUAAAGCUCUAUCAGCAGGGAAGAAUUAAGACGGUACCUGACUAAGAAGCACCGGCUAAAUACGUGCCAGCAGCCGCGGUAAUACGUAUGGUGCAAGCGUUAUCCGGAUUUACUGGGUGUAAAGGGAGCGUAGACGGAGAGGCAAGUCUGAUGUGAAAACCCGGGGCUCAACCCCGGGACUGCAUUGGAAACUGUUUUUCUAGAGUGUCGGAGAGGUAAGUGGAAUUCCUAGUGUAGCGGUGAAAUGCGUAGAUAUUAGGAGGAACACCAGUGGCGAAGGCGGCUUACUGGACGAUGACUGACGUUGAGGCUCGAAAGCGUGGGGAGCAAACAAGAUUAGAUACCCUGGUAGUCCACGCCGUAAACGAUGACUGCUAGGUGUCGGGAGGCAAAGCCUCUCGGUGCCGCAGCAAACGCAAUAAGCAGUCCACCUGGGGAGUACGUUCGCAAGAAUGAAACUCAAAGGAAUUGACGGGGACCCGCACAAGCGGUGGAGCAUGUGGUUUAAUUCGAAGCAACGCGAAGAACCUUACCUGCCCUUGACAUCCGGCUGACCGGCGAGUAAUGUCGCUUUUCCUUCGGGACAGCCGAGACAGGUGGUGCAUGGUUGUCGUCAGCUCGUGUCGUGAGAUGUUGGGUUAAGUCCCGCAACGAGCGCAACCCUUAUCUUUAGUAGCCAGCAUUUCGGAUGGGCACUCUGGAGAGACUGCCAGGGAUAACCUGGAGGAAGGUGGGGAUGACGUCAAAUCAUCAUGCCCCCUAUGGGCAGGGCUACACACGUGCUACAAUGGCGUAAACAAGGGAAGCGAGCCUGCGAAGGUAAGCAAAUCCCAAAAAUAACGUCUCAGUUCGGAUUGUAGUCUGCAACUCGACUACAUGAAGCUGGAAUCGCUAGUAAUCGCGAAUCAGAAUGUCGCGGCGAAAAAGGUCCCGGGUCUUGCACUCCCC
Molecule: ribosomal RNA, 1382 nt
Filed under: uncultured bacterium
Lineage: Bacteria
Description: bacterial SSU rRNA
Rfam family: Bacterial small subunit ribosomal RNA
Source: RNAcentral